This 473-nucleotide ribosomal RNA is filed under the name Veillonellaceae bacterium oral taxon 135. RNAcentral describes it as "bacterial SSU rRNA". It matches the Rfam family "Bacterial small subunit ribosomal RNA", at positions 28 to 485 of the family's 1533-position model. Lineage: Bacteria; Bacillati; Bacillota; Negativicutes; Veillonellales; Veillonellaceae. The record is from RNAcentral.
GACGAACGCUGGCGGCGUGCUUAACACAUGCAAGUCGAACGGAGCGAUUUAUUUCGGUAAAUCGCUUAGUGGCAAACGGGUGAGUAACGCGUAGGCAACCUGCCCUCGGGAUGGGGACAACGGCUCGAAAGAGCCGCUAAUACCGAAUGACGUAUCUCUCUCACAUGGGAGAGAUACUAAAGAUGGGUCAAACCAUCGCCCGAGGAUGGGCCUGCGUCUGAUUAGCCAGUUGGUGAGGUAACGGCUCACCAAAGCAACGAUCAGUAGCCGGUCUGAGAGGAUGAACGGCCACAAUGGGACUGAGACACGGCCCAUACUCCUACGGGAGGCAGCAGUGGGGAAUCUUCCGCAAUGGGCGCAAGCCUGACGGAGCAACGCCGCGUGAGUGAAGAAGGUCUUCGGAUCGUAAAGCUCUGUUGUCGGGGACGAAAGGGUAGACGAGGUAAUGCGUUUACUAAGACGGUACCCGACGA